UACGUAGGGGGCAAGCGUUGUCCGGAAUCAUUGGGCGUAAAGAGCGUGUAGGCGGUUCGGUAAGUCGGCUGUGAAAGUCGGGGGCUCAACCCUCGAAUGCCGGUGGAUACUGUCGGGCUAGAGUGCGGAAGAGGCGAGUGGAAUUCCUGGUGUAGCGGUGAAAUGCGCAGAUAUCAGGAGGAACACCGAUUGCGAAGGCAGCUCGCUGGGACGUCACUGACGCUGAGACGCGAAAGCGUGGGGAGCAAACAGG
This 253-nucleotide ribosomal RNA is filed under the name uncultured bacterium. RNAcentral describes it as "partial 16S ribosomal RNA". It matches the Rfam family "Bacterial small subunit ribosomal RNA", at positions 524 to 776 of the family's 1533-position model. The record is from RNAcentral.